CCAGUAAGGGCGACUGAACGGGGAGGAGCCCAGCGCGGAACCUCGCGCGCCUCACCGGCUGCGUCUGAGGAAUGUCGCGUUCCGGAGGGGCCUUCUCCGACCACACCGACCCCCCCCAAGUCCGCUUGAACGCGGCCACUGCCCAUGGAGGGUGCGAGGCCCGUACGGGGAUUAGGAGUCGGGCGGUCGGACGGCCCCGUCCGUAGAGUCGGGUUGCCUACUAACGCAGCCCAAAGCAGGUGGUAAACUC
Molecule: ribosomal RNA, 250 nt
Filed under: Harpiosquilla japonica
Lineage: Eukaryota; Metazoa; Arthropoda; Malacostraca; Stomatopoda; Squillidae
Description: partial large subunit ribosomal RNA
Rfam family: Eukaryotic large subunit ribosomal RNA
Source: RNAcentral